UAACAUAGUCCAAAUGUAGCAAGAUUUCGUAGUAUCAGAUUUUCUGAGAAGCUUUGCAAGCCACCAUUGGUCAGAAGCUUCCUCCAGAAAAGGUUUCCCUUGGAAAACUCUGUCAAGGGAACUAGUCCUUGGAGUCCAAGCACUAAACUAGAGGGAAGAUGGACAAGACACCACAAACAAGCAAAGGAAGUGAGACUCACCACUGAGGAUGUUCGCUUGAAUCAUUACCACUGGCAAAGAUACACAAGAAAGGAAGAUGCUAGAGUGAGCUCUCAGAUUCCAGGUUUUUCUACAGGAAUUCAGAGUAACAUGGUCCAAGCCCAUGAGAAACCACAGCUUGAAGCUGCAGUGCAGAAACAUCUCUGA
RNAcentral lists this long non-coding RNA (366 nucleotides) under Struthio camelus australis. RNAcentral describes it as "lncRNA (ENSSCUG00000008642.1)". The record is from RNAcentral. Lineage: Eukaryota; Metazoa; Chordata; Aves; Struthioniformes; Struthionidae.